ACCCCAUCCUGAUAUUUCAAACAAGUGUACAGCAGAAUAACAAUCUUGGUGAUGUCUUUUCUUCUCUUUCAACUAGAAAAGGCUGUACAGAGUGGGAGCUUGUUAAUUUGGAUGGAGAUGUUACAUCUUAGCUUAAUUUUGUCCCACUGGAUAUCAAGGCAUUAAAUGGAUGCUCAACAACAUCAUCUCAUAAGAUGGUGCUCCAUAUUGGCAGUCCCAUGGAUGGCAGAGUAUUAAUGGACUUCAAGUAAUGUGCUGAAGUGUGGAGAGCUGCAAAAUAUAGGACUUCAAUUAGAUGGAAAGCUAGGAAGAGCAAGUGUAAGCGCAAAUCAACCUGAGGCUCUCAUGAAUUUUGGAUAGAAGAAGAAGAUCAAGGAGGCGUUUCUUAGUUUCAUACUGGGACAAAGGACCUGGCUGGGGAUUUCUUUCCCAGAGAAGCUGGAAUUUCCUGCAGUGAAUACAGGGAGGAGAAAAAGGAGAUAAAAAAGCGGUCAGCCUGAACUAGCACCUGAAAGGGAGACUGAAACAGAAAUGGUGCCGAACCUGUAAGUAAGAGCCUCAAAGCAAAUAUUUUUGUCUCAAAUUGCACGUUGUCAGCAUCCCAAAAUUGCAAAUGAUCUUCCCCCUCUCAAUCUGCUGCUAGUCUAGCUGUGCAGAUAAACUUACACUGAACUCACUAUUUACCAGCAUCUCCACCAGGGAGAUUCUGUGAGCUGUCCUGGGCAUGUGGUGAAGUAGCUGAGGUAGUAUUUCAGAUGCUCUCUGAGACUUUUUCAGAUCUUACUGAGUGUGAAGCAGGGCUUAAAAAGAUGUUUUUGCCAGGUCACUAUUUUGCACUGGAGAGUCACUGUAUGCAGUAUUGCCCUCAGAGGAAGCCUUUUCUCAUAGAGACCCUAUGGGCAUCACGAAGUUUAACCUUCUGUCUGCUAUCAGAAAUCCCUACCAUGUUUUGCAGUGCGAGGAGGAGAAGGGAAAACAUUUGCUGGAUUGCUGUUCUUGUUCUAGUCUUGUUGAAUAUCUCUUACUGUCCAGAAAGAGUGAUAUGUCAAAGUCAGACUGGUGGAAAUUUGGGAGCGUUUGUGUGCAUUCCUUGCUGCUUCAGGCUGGAAGAACACCCGGUCUGUGUGAAGGGGAAGGAGUGAAUGUUUUCUCUUUCAUCACUGUUUUGGAAGGGCAGUUCCCAUCAUCCACAGCAAACCUGGAGAGGUGGUUCUAUGCAUAUGCAUGUGAAGAUACCAGGUCAGCUGAUGAAGCACUGUUGGAGGGACACUGAGCCCAGAGGGCAUCCAGGCUCAGUACUAUUCUCCAGCAUGCAGUGGACACCGGCCAAAUUCAUGGAAUAUGAAUAUUAUGUAUAAAAUUGUUGAACUUAAAUGAUCCUUGCUUGCUCACUAUUAAAUCUCUCUUACAUGAACAUGAAUGUGCACAUGAACAUAAUUGGGAGUCUCCUGUAGUGAGUCUGGCCCUCGAUGUCCGCUGGUGUCCACUGCUCAGACCUCUUUACUCACCAGCUGCUCUGUCCUGCAGCUCUUUUGCGUAGACUUACACAGGCCAGAGAGCACCCUCAGCCAUGAUAACCUCUGGGAAUGAAGUGUACCUGCAGCAGCCUGCAGUGGCCAGGCACACACCCUGGCUGCUUCCAUCCACCCUCCACUCCUUUCUCAAGUUAUUGCUCCUCUCUGAUCCACUCUGAUACCCGGCCUUUCCUUAAACAUCACACAAUAAGUUUAUUGCAUCUGCACAAUUCGCCUCAAAUAUACCAUAUUUUUUCUCUUGUCCUUGAGGCCCAUUAUAGUCUUGUUUCCACCUUCUUACCAGUUACAAAGUUUUGGCAGAAGCUCCUCAGAGCUUUGAGUAGUUCCUGCAGUAUCUCAUUAGCCAGCGGUGUGAGAGUUCUGGUCUUUGGUACAGACUUUGCUUCCUUCUGUUCAUUUGGGCUUCUGUUCUUGAAUUUUGAAUUUAUUGCUUCUAUUCCUGUCUUUUGUGCUAGUCUUCUAUGCUCAACAUCCCACAGUACAAUAAGCUAAUGAACCUAAUACCCUUUCAGUCCUCACAAGUGUACUUUGCAGUCUUCUUCAACAGAAGUUCAGAGCAUCUUGCUGGAUCCGGAAAUGUUUUUGUUUAAUGGUUUUGUUUAAUUUUACUCGUGUGAAUUUUGGAGUAAAAAUACAUGCAAACUUUCUAGAACAGCCCAGCAACUCUAAAUACCAAGAACUCAAGUUAAUGGAGAGGAAGAAAGCCAAGCACAGACUUGUAUGAAGGCUCAUUAAAUUACAAAUCACUGAAUGACUUGAAAUGAGAUUAAAAUGUGGGUUCUCUAGUCUAUUUUAAGAUGUUUUACUAUUAUGUUUUUUUAUUAUGUAAAAGUUAAGCUAGUCAUUUAUAAAAUCAUCUAAAUGCACC
This is a non-coding RNA of Coturnix japonica (Japanese quail), 2403 nucleotides long. The record is from RefSeq and is a predicted model, not a curated record. NCBI's taxonomy places the organism in Eukaryota, Metazoa, Chordata, Aves, Galliformes, Phasianidae.